Molecule: ribosomal RNA, 395 nt
Filed under: uncultured soil bacterium
Lineage: Bacteria
Description: bacterial SSU rRNA
Rfam family: Bacterial small subunit ribosomal RNA
Source: RNAcentral
AGAUUGAACGCUGGCGGCAGGCCUAACACAUGCAAGUCGAGCGGUAGAGAGGUGCUUGCAUCUCUUGAGAGCGGCGGACGGGUGAGUAAUGCCUAGGAAUCUGCCUAGUGGUGGGGGAUAACGUUCGGAAACGGACGCUAAUACCGCAUACGUCCUACGGGAGAAAGCGGGGGACCUUCGGGCCUCGCGCCAUUAGAUGAGCCUAGGUCGGAUUAGCUAGUUGGUGAGGUAAUGGCUCACCAAGGCGACGAUCCGUAACUGGUCUGAGAGGAUGAUCAGUCACACUGGAACUGAGACACGGUCCAGACUCCUACGGGAGGCAGCAGUGGGGAAUAUUGGACAAGUGGGCGAAAGCCUGAUCCAGCCAUGCCGCGUGUGUGAAGAAGGUCUUCGGA